This 76-nucleotide transfer RNA is filed under the name Alistipes sp. Its description in RNAcentral is "tRNA-Gly". It matches the Rfam family "tRNA". Rfam says of the family: Transfer RNA (tRNA) molecules are approximately 80 nucleotides in length. Their secondary structure includes four short double-helical elements and three loops (D, anti-codon, and T loops). The record is from RNAcentral. Lineage: Bacteria; Pseudomonadati; Bacteroidota; Bacteroidia; Bacteroidales; Rikenellaceae.
GCGAUAGUAGCUCAGUUGGCAGAGCGCUUGCUUCCCAAGCAAGAGGUCGCGAGUUCGAGACUCGUCUAUCGCUCCA